This is a non-coding RNA of Pimephales promelas (fathead minnow), 253 nucleotides long. The record is from RefSeq and is a predicted model, not a curated record. NCBI's taxonomy places the organism in Eukaryota, Metazoa, Chordata, Actinopteri, Cypriniformes, Leuciscidae.
UAACGCGCUCUCGUCACUGCCUCCCGGAAACCGGAUGUGAGCACCCGAACCGAAACACUGUUUUCUUUGGAGAGCGUGCUGCUGUCCUCUGCAGCACCAGCUCGUUACUGUUCAUCAUUGUUUACAUGUACUGCGUGUAUUGGAUGUGGACGCUGGAGGAGGAUGUGUCCUAAUGAAUACCCUGUCUCCGUGGUGAGAACCUGAGUUAUUCUCCAGAGAAAGCUACGUUUCCUUCUCCCCGACGAUCGGUACG